RNAcentral lists this ribosomal RNA (800 nucleotides) under bacterium enrichment culture clone XM70R10. Its description in RNAcentral is "bacterial SSU rRNA". It matches the Rfam family "Bacterial small subunit ribosomal RNA", at positions 33 to 815 of the family's 1533-position model. The record is from RNAcentral.
AUGCGGGGGCGCGUGCUAUAAUGCAAGUCGAGCGAAUCUGAUGGGAGCUUGCUCCCUGAUGAUUAGCGGCGGACGGGUGAGUAACACGUGGGUAACCUGCCUGUAAGACUGGGAUAACUCCGGGAAACCGGGGCUAAUACCGGAUAACUUUUUUCUUCGCAUGAAGGAGAAUUGAAAGAUGGCUUCGGCUAUCACUUACAGAUGGACCCGCGGCGCAUUAGCUAGUUGGUGAGGUAACGGCUCACCAAGGCGACGAUGCGUAGCCGACUUGAGAGGGUGAUCGGCCACACUGGGACUGAGACACGGCCCAGACUCCUACGGGAGGCAGCAGUAGGGAAUCUUCCGCAAUGGACGAAAGUCUGACGGAGCAACGCCGCGUGAGUGAUGAAGGUUUUCGGAUCGUAAAACUCUGUUGUUAGGGAAGAACAAGUAUCGUUCGAAUAGGGCGGUACCUUGACGGUACCUAACCAGAAAGCCACGGCUAACUACGUGCCAGCAGCCGCGGUAAUACGUAGGUGGCAAGCGUUGUCCGGAAUUAUUGGGCGUAAAGCGCGCGCAGGCGGUUUCUUAAGUCUGAUGUGAAAUCUUGCGGCUCAACCGCAAGCGGCCAUUGGAAACUGGGAGACUUGAGUGCAGAAGAGGAGAGUGGAAUUCCACGUGUAGCGGUGAAAUGCGUAGAGAUGUGGAGGAACACCAGUGGCGAAGGCGACUCUCUGGUCUGUAACUGACGCUGAGGCGCGAAAGCGUGGGGAGCGAACAGGAUUAGAUACCCUGGUAGUCCACGCCGUAAACGAUGAGUG